CUCUGUAAAUUCGAUUGAGAUUGUGAACGCAACGGUAACGAACACAGCUGCCUACAAAUCGGGCAUGUCUCAUUGGAUUUCAACCAAUCCGAUAAACAAGACCUGUGGUAUUUGUGUUUGCAAUGGGUUUCUACAAUGUCGGUGAUUGGAAGAGCCACGU
Long non-coding RNA from Drosophila guanche, 160 nucleotides. RefSeq lists it as uncharacterized. The record is from RefSeq and is a predicted model, not a curated record. The transcript has 3 exons. NCBI's taxonomy places the organism in Eukaryota, Metazoa, Arthropoda, Insecta, Diptera, Drosophilidae.